AACGAACGCUGGCGGCAGGCCUAACACAUGCAAGUCGAGCGGGACCUUCGGGUCUAGCGGCGGACGGGUUAGUAACGCGUGGGAACGUGCCCAAAGGUACGGAAUAGCCUCGGGAAACUGAGAGUAAUACCGUAUGUGCCCCUCGGGGGAAAGAUUUAUCGCCUUUGGAUCGGCCCGCGUUGGAUUAGGUAGUUGGUGGGGUAAUGGCCUACCAAGCCGACGAUCCAUAGCUGGUUUGAGAGGAUGAUCAGCAACACUGGGACUGAGACACGGCCCAGACUCCUACGGGAGGCAGCAGUGGGGAAUCUUAGACAAUGGGGGAAACCCUGAUCUAGCCAUGCCGCGUGGACGAUGAAGGCCUUAGGGUUGUAAAGUCCUUUCAGCUGGGAAGAUAAUGACGGUACCAGCAGAAGAAGCCCCGGCUAACUCCGUG
RNAcentral lists this ribosomal RNA (433 nucleotides) under uncultured bacterium. RNAcentral describes it as "bacterial SSU rRNA". It matches the Rfam family "Bacterial small subunit ribosomal RNA", at positions 29 to 507 of the family's 1533-position model. The record is from RNAcentral.